RNAcentral lists this ribosomal RNA (255 nucleotides) under uncultured bacterium. RNAcentral's name for it is "partial 16S ribosomal RNA". It matches the Rfam family "Bacterial small subunit ribosomal RNA", at positions 148 to 403 of the family's 1533-position model. The record is from RNAcentral.
AUACCGAAAGGUAUGCUAAUACGAGAUAAUAUGCUUUUAUCGCAUGGUAGAAGUAUCAAAGCUCCGGCGGUACAGGAUGGACCCGCGUCUGAUUAGCUAGUUGGUGAGGUAACGGCUCACCAAGGCGACGAUCAGUAGCCGACCUGAGAGGGUGAUCGGCCACAUUGGAACUGAGACACGGUCCAAACUCCUACGGGAGGCAGCAGUGGGGAAUAUUGCACAAGGGGAGAAAGCCUGAUGCAGCAACGCCGCGUG